RNAcentral lists this ribosomal RNA (511 nucleotides) under uncultured bacterium. Its description in RNAcentral is "bacterial SSU rRNA". It matches the Rfam family "Bacterial small subunit ribosomal RNA", at positions 29 to 517 of the family's 1533-position model. The record is from RNAcentral.
AGCGAACGUUAGCGGCGGGCCUAACACAUGCAAGUCGAACGCGAAAGGUCUUCGGACUGAGUAGAGUGGCGCACGGGUGAGUAACGCGUAGGUAAUCUACCCUUUGGCGGGGGAUAACGUUCCGAAAGGAGCGCUAAUACCGCAUAAGACCACGGAGUCUCCGGACGCUGUGGGAAAAGGUGGCCUCUUCUUGAAAGCUACCACCGAAGGAUGAGCCUGCGUCCCAUCAGCUAGUUGGUAAGGUAAUGGCUUACCAAGGCGAAGACGGGUAGCUGGUUUGAGAGAAUGAUCAGCCACACUGGCACUGGAACACGGGCCAGACUCCUACGGGAGGCAGCAGUGAGGAAUAUUGGGCAAUGGGCGAAAGCCUGACCCAGCCACGCCGCGUGAGUGAUGAAGGCCCUCGGGUCGUAAAGCUCUGUGGAGAGGGACGAAAACCCUGGUUUCAAAUAGGCUCCAGGCUUGACGGUACCUCUUUAGCAAGCACCGGCUAACUCUGUGCCAGCAGCCG